ACUCCUACGGGAGGCAGCAGUGGGGAAUAUUGCACAAUGGGCGCAAGCCUGAUGCAGCCAUGCCGCGUGUAUGAAGAAGGCCUUCGGGUUGUAAAGUACUUUCAGCAGUGAGGAAGGUGGAUAUGUUAAUAGCAUAUUCAUUUGACGUUAGCUGCAGAAGAAGCACCGGCUAACUCCGUGCCAGCAGCCGCGGUAAUACGGAGGGUGCGAGCGUUAAUCGGAAUUACUGGGCGUAAAGCGCAUGCAGGUGGUUUGUUAAGUCAGAUGUGAAAGCCCGGGGCUCAACCUCGGAAUUGCAUUUGAAACUGGCAAACUAGAGUACUGUAGAGGGGGGUAGAAUUUCAGGUGUAGCGGUGAAAUGCGUAGAGAUCUGAAGGAAUACCGGUGGCGAAGGCGGCCCCCUGGACAGAUACUGACACUCAGAUGCGAAAGCGUGGGGAGCAAACAGGAUUAGAUACCUGGUAGGCUCUGC
This 472-nucleotide ribosomal RNA is filed under the name uncultured bacterium. Its description in RNAcentral is "bacterial SSU rRNA". It matches the Rfam family "Bacterial small subunit ribosomal RNA", at positions 335 to 800 of the family's 1533-position model. The record is from RNAcentral.